UUUCAAAAAGAUGGUUGUCGAAAGUGUAAGUUUACAAAUUUUACUUAAUUAAAUGUAAAAAAUUUAAUAAUAUUGAAUAAUAAGAAAAGCCCACAAGCAAAUGCAACAGUUGUAGACAUAAUUGGCGGAAGGACCAACCAGAACCAGUACAAAAUGGAAGAAGCAUUACAACGCGGGGUGCGUUAAAGCUUCCUUCACAAUACUCUUUCUGAGCGGUUGAUCUUAAGGUUUUGUUUCAUAGUUACGUACUCCCGAAUUCUUGAGAUCGUUUUUCACUGCGUCUAUCCAUCGGUUCCUCGGUCUGCCCUUGGUAUUUACGCCCAUUAGCUUUCCUUUCAUGGGUUUCUUCUCGGCACAGUCAGUAGGCCUACGGGUAACAUGGCCUAGCCAUUGUAUGUGCUGAACUUUAACAAAACGCACAAAACGCCUUUAUUUCGGAAUUUUACCGGACUCUAUAGCAAUCAGCGGGCAGUUAGCAACUUUAAGAGCCCAAACCUCUCAUCCAUAGGUUAAAAUUGGUGGGAUAAUGAUAGUUUUAGGCAAUAGCCUGGGACUUGAACCAGUUAAAAUGUGCAUAAUACGUUUUUUACAUAUGGCAUAACAUAAAUAUUGAGGAACAUAGUAACCGCGUCAAACUAUGCAAGAAUUAGCAACCCUCGUCGUGAAAUUGGCUAACCAACUGUGACUGAAGUAACAAAGCAAUUUGCCACAGCUCAUAAACAACAACUAAAAAUUAUGUCAACUAUGCAACAUAUAGCUUAUUUCGGCUGGAUUCUUCUCGUAGACGAUUAAAACGAACAACGGCUACAUACAUUAUGGAGAGCGAAUAGCGAAUUAUGUGUGUAUAUAAGUAUAUAUAAGUACCUAAAUAAUAUAUAAG
Long non-coding RNA from Anastrepha ludens (Mexican fruit fly), 880 nucleotides. RefSeq lists it as uncharacterized. The transcript has 4 exons. The record is from RefSeq and is a predicted model, not a curated record. Lineage: Eukaryota; Metazoa; Arthropoda; Insecta; Diptera; Tephritidae.